GGUCAUGAGUGCCAGCGCCAAGCCCCGGCUCGCUGGCCGGCAACCCUCCAUCCGCGGUGGGGUGCCCCGGGUGAAGACCUGGCUCUUCGGCAACAGCCGGGAGCAAGCGCGGCCC
Molecule: non-coding RNA, 115 nt
Filed under: Arthrobacter sp. 8AJ
Lineage: Bacteria; Bacillati; Actinomycetota; Actinomycetes; Micrococcales; Micrococcaceae
Description: SAM-IV
Rfam family: SAM (S-adenosyl methionine) riboswitch aptamer
About the family: SAM-IV is a mRNA element that regulates gene expression via direct sensing of S-adenosylmethionine (SAM or AdoMet). SAM-IV riboswitches share conserved nucleotide positions with the previously described SAM-I riboswitches sequence analysis and molecular recognition experiments suggest that SAM-I and SAM-IV riboswitches share similar ligand binding sites, but have different scaffolds.
Source: RNAcentral